GACUCAACACGGGGAAACUCACCAGGUCCAGAUGAAAUAAGGAUUGACAGAUUGAGAGCUCUUUCUUGAUUUUUCAGGUGGUGGUGCAUGGCCGUUCUUAGUUCGUGGGGUGACUUGUCUGCUUAAUUGCGAUAACGAGCGAGACCUUACUCUGCUAAAUAGCCAGGCUAACUUUGGUUGGUCGCCGGCUUCUUAGAGAGACUAUCAACUCAAGUUGAUGGAAGUUUGAGGCAAUAACAGGUCUGUGAUGCCCUUAGAUGUUCUGGGCCGCGCGCGCGCUACACUGACAGAGCCAACGAGUUCUUUUCCUUGUUCGAAAGAAUUGGGUAAUCUUGUUAAACUCUGUCGUGCUGGGGAUAAAGCAUUGCAAUUAUUGCUUUUCAACGAGGAAUGCCUAGUAAGCGCGUGUCAUCAGCAUGCGUUGAUUACGUCCCUGACCUUUGUACGCACCGCCCGUCGCUACUACCGAUUGAAUGGCUCAGUGAGGCCUUCGGACUGGCUCGAGGAGGUUGGCAACGACCACCUCAAGCCGGAAAGUUCGUCAAACUCGGUCAUUUAGAGGAAGUAAAAGUCGUAACAAGGUUU
Molecule: ribosomal RNA, 585 nt
Filed under: uncultured fungus
Lineage: Eukaryota; Fungi
Description: SSU rRNA
Rfam family: Eukaryotic small subunit ribosomal RNA
Source: RNAcentral